This 468-nucleotide ribosomal RNA is filed under the name uncultured bacterium. RNAcentral's name for it is "partial 16S ribosomal RNA". It matches the Rfam family "Bacterial small subunit ribosomal RNA", at positions 28 to 507 of the family's 1533-position model. The record is from RNAcentral.
GACGAACGCUGGCGGCGUGCUUAACACAUGCAAGUCGAACGGAAAGGCCCUGCUUUUGUGGGGUGCUCGAGUGGCGAACGGGUGAGUAACACGUGAGUAACCUGCCCUUGACUUUGGGAUAACUUCAGGAAACUGGGGCUAAUACCGGAUAGGAGCUCCUGCUGCAUGGUGGGGGUUGGAAAGUUUCGGCGGUGGUGGAUAGACUCGCGGCUUAUCAGCUUGUUGGUGGGGUAGUUGCUUACCAAGGCUUUGACGGGUAGCCGGCCUGAGAGGGUGACCGGGCACAUUGGGCCUACGAUACGGCCCAGACUGCUACGGGAGGCAGCAGGGGGGAAUCUUGCGCAAUGGGCGGAAGCCUGAUGCAGCAACGCCGCGUGCGGGAUGCCGGCCUUCGGGUUGUAAACAGCUUUCGCAUGUGACGAAGCGUGCGUGACGGUAAUGGGUAAAGAAGCACCGGCUAACUACGUG